AGGAAAGGUCUUAUUAUAUAUUAUAAUCAGAAAUAAAUUUCAUUGAAAUAUUACUUACUUAUUUCUGGGUAUCAUGCUUCAGAGAACCAUGAUGUGUUACAAUACGCUCCGCUCUUUAAUUUUAGUUUAGUAGAAAAUAUUCUCAAAACCUGCAUAUAUCAAAAUUAUGUCAGGGUUCUAAAAUGAAUCGGUAAUAAAAUCGUAAACCAGAUCAACAUUGGAAAUAAUUUAAAAAAUUUGCUUUGGUCCGAUUGAAAAAAGUACUAUACUACCAAAUAGUUACAUCUAUUCUGUAGCAAUAAAAGUUAUAAAAUUCUGUCUAUUAUUAAUUUUAAUAUUAAAAAGUGUAUCGUUUAACUCUUAGCCAUUAUUUACAAUUUAAUUGUUAAUUAUGCCUAAAAAAACGAAUUAACAACUUUGGUAUUGUUUGGAAGGUAAACAGCUUAAUUCCUUUAUGUAAAGCCACCUUAACAUGUUUUUGCAUAAUUCUGACUCACCUUGGUUGCUAUCGGGCUUAAGCCAUAAAAAUCGAAGAAAAAAAGAAGAAGACGAAGAGACUUUCACUUGUCUUAUCAAUGUCACUUUCCGGCCCACAAGCAUAAACGCCACCGGCAACGGAAGUUCCCAAAAUCCAAACAAAUGUUGGAAGAUAUUUUUAAGUCUCCGCAUCUUUCUUACUUUCCUAUAUGAAAAUAAAAUGUAAGUAUCACAAUUACACACAUACAAGUUUUUUUUUUUUAAUUCAGUUUCAUAAUUACCAAUUUUUAGUGAAUAAUCCUGAAAUUUAUGAAAAUACAUACAUUUUAAGGUUAUGUCAUAAUGUUUUGAUUGUUAUAUUUGAUUUUGUUUUUGUUAUUUUAGUGGACUACACCAACAAAGGUUAUGUGUUUUGCACCAGAUUGAAAGCAUCAUAGCGAAAAACGGACCUGUCAUAUCUUUAAAUUUUCAAAAGAGCCCCUGGAAAAAGAAAAAUGAAUAUCUUUGCCAAUGAAUAGGCAAAUGGAUAAAAAACCUUCAGUCCAUGCAUUGGUAUGUAAUUGUUGACAAAAAUACAAUGAAUGGCCUCACUACUUUUCCACAUGCAAAGAGGUUAACCAAGGAGAAAUUAAAGAAAUUGUCAAAAACCUAGGUAAAUACAGAAUUGCUUAGUACAAACAUAUCUAUACCCAGUACAAGUUCGUCCACUUCUUUGAAGCAUGGUACUUCAAACAGAAACACUGUCAACAAUUUUGUAGAAGGUGAGCCGGUGUCAAAUUCCAGUAAGGGACAUGAUUUCAAUUUUGCACCAACAGCAGAGCUAAAAUUCAUUUUGCCGCAAAAAACUGGAGGAUGUGAAAGAAAAAAGUGCAGAAGUUAAAAUUAAGUUUUUCAUAUGAGCACAUAAAAAAUAAUCAUGACAAAGUUCAGUUGUAUACAGGUUUGACAUGUAAUAAAUAUUUUUGUAAUCUUAUUAAGUUAAUUAGUUUUAUAUAUUAUUUAAAUAAUAAUUGUAUACUUCACAUAGAAUAUGCAGAAAUUAUAUGUACAUAUAUAAAUUUUUUUAUUAAGAUAAGGACAACAUGUAUUAAAGCAUAACACAUAAUAUAAACACACACGUAAUAUCUUCAUUAAAAAUUAUGAUUGUAUGUUAUGUAGCAUUAGAGCCUAAAAACAUUAAGGAGAAUAAAGGUCGUUAUUGGCAAA
This 1683-nucleotide long non-coding RNA is filed under the name Anthonomus grandis grandis. RNAcentral describes it as "uncharacterized LOC126740229". The record is from RNAcentral. Lineage: Eukaryota; Metazoa; Arthropoda; Insecta; Coleoptera; Curculionidae.